AUCUUACUUUCGAAUACAUAGGGGUAAGAAGCGAACGCAGGGAACUGAAACAUCUAAGUACCUGCAGGAAAGGACAUCAACCGAGACUCCGUAAGUAGUGGCGAGCGAACGCGGACCAGGCCAGUGGCAAUGAUGAAUAAAGCGGAACGAUCUGGAAAGGUCGGCCAUAGAGGGUGAUAGCCCCUUACGCGUAGAACAGUCAUUGUCCUUGAGUAGGGCGGGGCACGUGAAAUCCUGUCUGAACAUGGGGAGACCACUCUCCAAGCCUAAGUACUCGUGCAUGACCGAUAGCGAACAAGUACCGUGAGGGAAAGGUGAAAAGCACCCCGACGAGGGGAGUGAAAUAGAACCUGAAACCGGAUGCCUACAAACAGUCGGAGCCCGAGCCUUUUAGUAGGUUGGGUGACGGCGUACCUUUUGUAUAAUGGGUCAACGACUUAGUGUAACUAGCAAGCUUAAGCCGGUAGGUGUAGGCGCAGCGAAAGCGAGUCUGAAUAGGGCGAUUUAGUUAGUUGCAUUAGACCCGAAACCGAGUGAUCUAGCCAUGAGCAGGCUGAAGGUUGGGUAACACCAACUGGAGGGCCGAACCCGUAUCUGUUGCAAUAGAUUGGGAUGACUUGUGGCUAGGGGUGAAAGGCCAAUCAAACUCGGAAAUAGCUGGUUCUCCGCGAAAUCUAUUUAGGUAGAGCGUCGACCGAAUACCCUCGGGGGUAGAGCACUGGAUGGGCUAUGGGGACUCACCGUCUUACUGAUCCUAACCAAACUCCGAAUACCGAGGAGUACUAGUCGGCAGACACACGGCGGGUGCUAACGUCCGUCGUGAAAAGGGCAACAACCCUGACCUCCAGCUAAGGUCCCCAAGUCAUGGCUAAGUGGGAAAGGAUGUGAGGAUCCCAAAACAACCAGGAUGUUGGCUUAGAAGCAGCCAUCAUUUAAAGAAAGCGUAACAGCUCACUGGUCUAAAUAAGGGUCUUUGCGCCGAAAAUGUAACGGGGCUAAAGCCAUGCACCGAAGCUGAGGAUUGUGGCAACCUUCGGGUUGCUUCAGUGGUAGCGGAGCGUUCCGUAAGUCUGUGAAGGCGGACCCGUGAGGGCUGCUGGAGAUAUCGGAAGUGCGAAUGUUGACAUGAGUAACGAUAAAGGGAGUGAGAGACUCCCUCGCCGAAAGACCAAGGGUUCCUGCUUAAAGUUAAUCUGAGCAGGGUUAGCCGGCCCCUAAGACGAGGCGGACACGCGUAGUCGAUGGGAACCACGUUAAUAUUCGUGGGCCUGGUGGUAGUGACGGAUCUCGUGUGUUGUACAUUCUUACUGGAUUGAAUGUGCGGCGAAGAGGUUCCAGGAAAUAGCUCCACCGUAUAGACCGUACCCGAAACCGACACAGGUGGUCAGGUAGAGUAUACCAAGGCGCUUGAGAGAACUAUGUUGAAGGAACUCGGCAAAUUGCACGCGUAACUUCGGAAGAAGCGUGACCCUUUUGUACGCAAGUAUGAUGGGGUGGCACAGACCAGGGGGUAGCGACUGUUUAUCAAAAACACAGGGCUCUGCGAAGUAGCAAUACGACGUAUAGGGUCUGACGCCUGCCCGGUGCUGGAAGGUUAAAGGGAGGGGUGCAAGCUCUGAACUGAAGCCCCAGUAAACGGCGGCCGUAACUAUAACGGUCCUAAGGUAGCGAAAUUCCUUGUCGGGUAAGUUCCGACCUGCACGAAUGGCGUAACGACUUCCCCGCUGUCUCCAACAUAGACUCAGUGAAAUUGAAUUCCCCGUGAAGAUGCGGGGUUCCUGCGGUCAGACGGAAAGACCCCGUGCACCUUUACUAUAGCUUUACACUGGCAUUCGCCAAGGCAUGUGUAGGAUAGGUGGUAGGCUUUGAAGCAUGGACGCCAGUUCGUGUGGAGCCAUCCUUGAAAUACCACCCUUAUCUUCGUGGAUGUCUAACCGCGGUCCGUUAUCCGGAUCCGGGACAGUGUAUGGUGGGUAGUUUGACUGGGGCGGUCGCCUCCGAAAGAGUAACGGAGGCGCGCGAUGGUGGGCUCAGACCGGUCGGAAAUCGGUCGUCGAGUGCAAUGGCAUAAGCCCGCCUGACUGCGAGACUGACAAGUCGAGCAGAGACGAAAGUCGGUCAUAGUGAUCCGGUGGUCCCGUGUGGAAGGGCCAUCGCUCAACGGAUAAAAGGUACGCCGGGGAUAACAGGCUGAUGACCCCCAAGAGUCCAUAUCGACGGGGUUGUUUGGCACCUCGAUGUCGACUCAUCGCAUCCU
Molecule: ribosomal RNA, 2257 nt
Filed under: Agrobacterium fabrum str. C58
Lineage: Bacteria; Pseudomonadati; Pseudomonadota; Alphaproteobacteria; Hyphomicrobiales; Rhizobiaceae
Description: bacterial LSU rRNA
Rfam family: Bacterial large subunit ribosomal RNA
Source: RNAcentral